CCUACGGGAGGCAGCAGUGGGGAAUAUUGCACAAUGGGGGAAACCCUGAUGCAGCGACGCCGCGUGAGUGAAGAAGUAUUUCGGUACGUAAAGCUCUAUCAGCAGGGAAGAAAAUGACGGUACCUGACUAAGAAGCCCCGGCUAACUACGUGCCAGCAGCCGCGGUAAUACGUAGGGGGCAAGCGUUAUCCGGAUUUACUGGGUGUAAAGGGAGCGUAGACGGCAGCGCAAGUCUGGAGUGAAAUCCCAUGGCUUAACCAUGGAACUGCUUUUGAAAUUGUGCAGCUAGAGUGCAGGAGAGGUAAGCGGAAUUCCUAGUGUAGCGGUGAAAUGCGUAGAUAUUAGGAGGAACACCAGUGGCGAAGGCGGCUUACUGGACUGUAACUGACGUUGAGGCUCGAAAGCGUGGGGAGCAAACAGGAUUAGAUACCCCUGUAGUC
This 440-nucleotide ribosomal RNA is filed under the name uncultured bacterium. Its description in RNAcentral is "partial 16S ribosomal RNA". It matches the Rfam family "Bacterial small subunit ribosomal RNA", at positions 338 to 795 of the family's 1533-position model. The record is from RNAcentral.